Molecule: long non-coding RNA, 735 nt
Filed under: Cricetulus griseus (Chinese hamster)
Lineage: Eukaryota; Metazoa; Chordata; Mammalia; Rodentia; Cricetidae
Description: lncRNA (ENSCGRG00015033463.1)
Source: RNAcentral
UGUAAAUAAAACCAAGGAAGAGCCCCGGGGCAGUUUCACAGUCAGUGCCCAAGCAGCCCCCAUAGUCAGCAGGAACCUGUAGAUCCGUGAUGACUGCAAUCUUGAAUACAGAAAGCCUGUGCUGACAUUUAUGUUCAACACCCCUAGAGGCACCUGCCCUAUGCCCGUAGGAGCAUUUUUCACAAAAGCCAAAGGCACGAGCCAUCUGGUCUGUGAAGAAUUGUGCUGGGAUUUUGAUGGGGAUUGCAUUGAAUCUGUAGAUUGCCAUUGGACAUCAGCUGACCUCAGCCACUGACGUUCAUGAUCGCAGGUCAUGCUUCCUCUUAAGCAGUGACAUCAGCCUCAUCAUAAACCCUGUUAUCAGAUCGAAGACCCUCUCUUCCUGUCAGCUUCAAAACAGUGACAGGAAAUGGAAAAGGGGAAAACACGUGGGAGUCUGAGGCCAGUCACUAAGCCUCUGGCCGAAGAGGAAGGAAAUGACACAGGACACCUGUGCAGCAGCAGGAGCCAGGCUGGCCCCACUCGGAUGUCAUGCAAACAAGGGUCAUGCUGCCAUCGAAUACCGAGCAACGUCCCCACCCACCCAGGCUGGUAAUGUGGCUCCUCGAAGUUCUCAUUUCCACACCCUGUCCUCCUUCCAGAAACAUCUCUUGGGACACAAGUUCUUGCCUUACUUUUUUUCCUUGAUAGUCAUGAACAAAUGUCCCUUUACCGCACAUACAGCACCAAUUACAG